Molecule: long non-coding RNA, 253 nt
Filed under: Mytilus galloprovincialis (Mediterranean mussel)
Lineage: Eukaryota; Metazoa; Mollusca; Bivalvia; Mytilida; Mytilidae
Source: RNAcentral
UCGGAUACAAUUGCAUUAAAAUAAAGUAUUGAGGUAGGUGUUGCUUGUUUUCUGUUCUAUUGCAUUAUUCGCACAUUUACUGAUUUCAGCAAGUCAAUAUGGCGGCUCCUUGGUUACAACAUGUCAACAGUGAAUUUGACGGUAGCUUACGAUAAAAAAUGUAAAUUUAAAAUUGCAAAUGUUGGGUUUACUGAGAAGUAAAAAAAGUAAUCACAUUUUUUUCUAGCGGUUAGUUAAGAAAUCAUUCAUGCAG